UUAACUCAAUUUUGUAUGGAGUUGAAACGUUUGCCGCUAGGGGCGCUGUUCCAACUGCAUACAAAUUAAAUGAA
RNAcentral lists this microRNA precursor (74 nucleotides) under Bombyx mori (domestic silkworm). RNAcentral's name for it is "mir-2807 microRNA precursor family". It matches the Rfam family "mir-2807 microRNA precursor family". Lineage: Eukaryota; Metazoa; Arthropoda; Insecta; Lepidoptera; Bombycidae. The record is from Rfam by way of RNAcentral.